CUGCCCUGCAGAGAGCCAAGGCGUCCUUCAGACAGGAAAUAGGAUCUUAGUGGGUGGCCGCCAAGAGCGCACAGACUUUGAAGCAGGAAAAGACAGUCUCUAGAGCAACAUGGAAAGGAUCCAGAAUCUAAAAUAUUCCUGGAAAUGGAGAGUCCUGACAUGAUGGCCCCAUGAUGAAAAGAACCCAGGUUCCUGAGUCACGACGUGGACAUGAGGCACCAAGGAGAAAACACGUGAACCUUAAUAAGUUUGGGAUCAAAUGGAGGUUCCCAUGAUUUUCUUUUUCCUCAUGGAAACAUGUUUGGUCAGAAGGGAAACAAACCAAUUAAGGUGAUACCAAAGGAUGAUCCUUGAUACAGUUGUAUUUUGGUGGAGCGUUGAGAUUCGCCAGUGAACUCUAACAGUGAGGAUGGCACUGGAAUAAAAAGAGAAGAAACAUGUACUAGAAGCCAAAAAACCUUGUCUUAUUUUCUUUGAAAAAAGGAUGCUCUAGCUAAUAAUAGCAAUAGGGUUUCCACAUGUGCUGUGCUGUUAUUGUUGCCUGCAACAAAAGAACAACUUUGAAUAAUGAACAGUCUAGCUUCACAGCAGGACACUGUUCUACAGGGAGGCCCUCAAUUAUGGUGUAUUUAAUAAUUAGAAAUAUGAGCAAGAAUUGACCUUCCAAGUUGCAUAUAUUAUUCGCUUUACCUGCUCAAUGUCACAGUGGGUGCCGUCAGGAAGACUGUGACUGAAAACCCUAAAGACUUUUCUGCCAAGUCCCAUAAAUAAUCUGUUUGCCAAAUGUGCCUGAGAUGUACAUGGCAUAUGCUUAGAUCCAUGUCGGAGUCUGGAUGUGGCUCGUGGCCUUGAGUUUACAGAGUAUUUGUACCUGUUUGUAGGGAAGGGACAUACUGCAAAUAUGGC
RNAcentral lists this long non-coding RNA (906 nucleotides) under Homo sapiens (human). RNAcentral describes it as "HSALNT0394759". Lineage: Eukaryota; Metazoa; Chordata; Mammalia; Primates; Hominidae. The record is from RNAcentral.